GGCGUCCGAGUUGUAAUUUGUAGAGGAUGCUAUUGGGUUGCCACCGGUCUAAGUUCCUUGGAACAGGACGUCACAGAGGGUGAGAAUCCCGUACGUGACCGGCCAGGCGCCCUCCGUAUAGCUCCUUCGACGAGUCGGGUUGUUUGGGAAUGCAGCCCUAAAUGGGAGGUAAAUUUCUUCUAAAGCUAAAUACCGGCCAGAGACCGAUAGCGCACAAGUAGAGUGAUCGAAAGAUGAAAAGCACUUUGGAAAGAGAGUUAAAAAGCACGUGAAAUUGUUGAAAGGGAAGCGCUUGCAAUCAGUCUCGACGGCGGCUGUUCGGCCUCUCUUCUGAGUGGUUUAUUCAGCCGCCGCCGGGCCAGCAUCAGUUUCGGCGGUCGGAUAAAGGCGCGGGGAAUGUAGCUCCCUCGGGAGUGUUAUAGCCCCGCGUGCAAUACGGCCCGCCGGGACUGAGGUCCGCGCUCCGGCUAGGAUGCUGGCGAAAUGGUUGUAAGCGGCCCGUCUUGAAACACGGACCAAGGAGUCUAACAUCUACGCGAGUGUUUGGGUGUCAAACCCGUGCGCGCAAUGAAAGUGAACGGAGGUGGGAACCGCAAGGUGCACCAUCGACCGAUCCUGAUGUCUUCGGAUGGAUUUGAGUAAGAGCGUAGCUGUUGGGACCCGAAAGAUGGUGAACUAUGCCUGAAUAGGGUGAAGCCAGAGGAAACUCUGGUGGAGGCUCGCAGCGGUUCUGACG
Molecule: ribosomal RNA, 736 nt
Filed under: Elsinoe tiliae
Lineage: Eukaryota; Fungi; Ascomycota; Dothideomycetes; Myriangiales; Elsinoaceae
Description: eukaryotic LSU rRNA
Rfam family: Eukaryotic large subunit ribosomal RNA
Source: RNAcentral